This 700-nucleotide ribosomal RNA is filed under the name uncultured bacterium. RNAcentral's name for it is "bacterial SSU rRNA". It matches the Rfam family "Bacterial small subunit ribosomal RNA", at positions 8 to 696 of the family's 1533-position model. The record is from RNAcentral.
AGAGUUUGAUCAUGGCUCAGAACGAACGCUGGCGGCGCGUUUUAAGCAUGCAAGUCGAACGGUAGUAUGGUGCUUGCACCAUAUGAGAGUGGCGAACGGGUGAGUAACACGUAAGUAAUCUGCCUUGAAGUUGGGGAUAGCCUGUGGAAACACAGGGUAAUACCAAAUAAGUCUGUUAGACGGGAGUCUAACAGGGAAAGGAGCUAAGGCUUCGCUUUAAGAUGAGCUUGCGGUUCAUUAGCUAGUUGGUGGGGUAAAGGCCUACCAAGGCGACGAUGAAUAGCCGGCCUGAGAGGGUGACCGGCCACACUGGGACUGAGAUACGGCCCAGACUCCUACGGGAGGCAGCAGCUAAGAAUCUUCCGCAAUGGACGAAAGUCUGACGGAGCGACGCCGCGUGAACGAUGAAGGCCGUGAGGUUGUAAAGUUCUUUUCGGGAGGAGGAAUAAGGUUUGCAGGAAAUGGCAGACUGAUGACGUUAAUCCCGGAAUAAGCCCCGGCUAACUACGUGCCAGCAGCCGCGGUAACACGUAGGGGGCAAGCGUUGUUCGGAAUCAUUGGGCGUAAAGGGCGUGCAGGCGGUAUUGCAAGUCUGGCGUGAAAGAUCUCGGCUUAACCGAGGGAACGCGCUGGAAACUGUAAUACUAGAGUACAGGAGGGGACAUUGGAAUUCCAGGUGUAGGGGUGAAAUCUGUAGAUA